AACCGUCACGGUUUUACUCUUGUGAUUUGUUGCAUG
This 36-nucleotide unclassified non-coding RNA is filed under the name Schistosoma mansoni. Lineage: Eukaryota; Metazoa; Platyhelminthes; Trematoda; Strigeidida; Schistosomatidae. The record is from RNAcentral.